This 497-nucleotide ribosomal RNA is filed under the name uncultured bacterium. RNAcentral describes it as "partial 16S ribosomal RNA". It matches the Rfam family "Bacterial small subunit ribosomal RNA", at positions 28 to 507 of the family's 1533-position model. The record is from RNAcentral.
GACGAACGCUGGCGGCAUGCCUAAUACAUGCAAGUCGAACGCUGAAGCACUCUGCUUGCAGAGUGCGGAUGAGUGGCGAACGGGUGAGUAACACGUGGGAGAUCUGCCUAUAAGAGGGGGAUAACAUUCGGAAACGGAUGCUAAUACCGCAUAUAUUCUUGGACCGCCUGGUCCUUGAAAGAAAGACGGCUUUGCUGUCGCUUAUAGAUGAUCCCGCGGCGUAUUAGUUAGUUGGUGGGGUAAAGGCCUACCAAGACAAUGAUACGUAGCCGACCUGAGAGGGUGAUCGGCCACACUGGGACUGAGACACGGCCCAGACUCCUACGGGAGGCAGCAGUAGGGAAUCUUCCACAAUGGGCGAAAGCCUGAUGGAGCAAUGCCGCGUGAAUGAAGAAGGUCUUCGGAUCGUAAAGUUCUGUUAUUAGAGAAGAACAAGUCAAGGAGUAACUGUCUUGACUUUGACGGUACCUAACCAGAAAGUCACGGCUAACUACGUG